RNAcentral lists this ribosomal RNA (453 nucleotides) under uncultured bacterium. RNAcentral's name for it is "bacterial SSU rRNA". It matches the Rfam family "Bacterial small subunit ribosomal RNA", at positions 355 to 825 of the family's 1533-position model. The record is from RNAcentral.
UGAGGAAUCUUCCGCAAUGGGCGCAAGCCUGACGGAGCGACGCCGCGUGAAGGAUGAAGGCCCUUACGGGUCGUAAACUUCUGUUCUGAGGGACGAAAUUUUUUGACGGUACCUCAGGAGAAAGUAUCGGCAAACCCUGUGCCAGCAGCCGCGGUAAGACAGGGGAUACAAGCGUUACUCGGAAUUACUGGGCGUAAAGCGUCUGUAGGUGCUUUGGUAAGUCUGUGGUAAAAGCUCGGGGCUCAACCCCGAGAGCGUCAUGGAAACUACCGAAGUUGAGCAGUAGAGAGGCAUCUGGAAUGCCGCAUGUAGGAGUAAAAUCCGUAGAUAUGCGGUAGAACGCCAAAAGCGUAGGCAGGAUGCUAGCUACUUGCUGACACUGAGAGACGAAAGCGUGGGGAGCGAAGCGGAUUAGAUACCCGCGUAGUCCCUGAGCGGGCUGGCAAGGCGCAU